Molecule: transfer RNA, 90 nt
Filed under: Lysobacter enzymogenes
Lineage: Bacteria; Pseudomonadati; Pseudomonadota; Gammaproteobacteria; Lysobacterales; Lysobacteraceae
Also listed under: 17 other names
Description: tRNA-Ser
Rfam family: tRNA
About the family: Transfer RNA (tRNA) molecules are approximately 80 nucleotides in length. Their secondary structure includes four short double-helical elements and three loops (D, anti-codon, and T loops).
Source: RNAcentral
GGAGAGAUGGCCGAGUGGUUUAAGGCAGCGGUCUUGAAAACCGCCGAAGGGUUAAACCUUCCGUGGGUUCGAAUCCCACUCUCUCCGCCA